UUAUUUGAAGCUUGUAGCAAUGAACUUUUAAUUCAUCAUUAGUUUUUUAGUUUAAACCAAAUAAA
This 65-nucleotide transfer RNA is filed under the name Mutilla europaea. RNAcentral describes it as "tRNA-Lys". The record is from RNAcentral. Lineage: Eukaryota; Metazoa; Arthropoda; Insecta; Hymenoptera; Mutillidae.